GCUGGCGGCAGGCCUAACACAUGCAAGUCGAGCGGUAGCACAGAGAAGCUUGCUUCUUGGGUGACGAGCGGCGGACGGGUGAGUAACGCGUAGGAAUCUACCUAAUGGUGGGGGAUAGCCCAGGGAAACUUGGAUUAAUACCGCAUAAGUCCUAAGGGAGAAAGCGGGGGAUCUUCGGACCUCGUGCCAUUAGAUGAGCCUGCGUAAGAUUAGCUAGUUGGUGAGGUAAGAGCUCACCAAGGCGACGAUCUUUAGCUGGUCUGAGAGGAUGAUCAGCCACACUGGGACUGAGACACGGCCCAGACUCCUACGGGAGGCAGCAGUGGGGAAUAUUGGACAAUGGGGGCAACCCUGAUCCAGCCAUGCCGCGUGUGUGAAGAAGGCCUUCGGGUUGUAAAGCACUUUCAGAUGUGAGGAAAGGUUACAGAUUAAUACUCUGUAGCUGUGACGUUAACAUCAGGAAGAAGGACCGGCUAACUCCGUGCCAGCAGCCGCGGUAAUACGGAGGGUCCGAGCGUUAAUCGGAAUUACUGGGCGUAAAGCGCGCGUA
RNAcentral lists this ribosomal RNA (550 nucleotides) under uncultured Oceanospirillales bacterium. Its description in RNAcentral is "bacterial SSU rRNA". It matches the Rfam family "Bacterial small subunit ribosomal RNA", at positions 35 to 573 of the family's 1533-position model. Lineage: Bacteria; Pseudomonadati; Pseudomonadota; Gammaproteobacteria; Oceanospirillales. The record is from RNAcentral.